This 680-nucleotide ribosomal RNA is filed under the name uncultured bacterium. RNAcentral's name for it is "bacterial SSU rRNA". It matches the Rfam family "Bacterial small subunit ribosomal RNA", at positions 62 to 774 of the family's 1533-position model. The record is from RNAcentral.
UCGCACGAGAAAGUGGGGCAACCCAUGAGUACAGUGGCGUACGGGUGAGUAACACGUGGAUCAUCUACCUCCUUGUGGGGAAUAACCCUGGGAAACUAGGGCUAAUACCGCAUAAGCUCGAGAGAGGAAAGCAGCAAUGCGCUGGGAGAGGAGUCCGCGGCCGAUUAGCUAGUUGGCAGGGUAAAAGCCUACCAAGGCAAAGAUCGGUAGCCGGCCUGAGAGGGCACACGGCCACACUGGCACUGAAACACGGGCCAGACUCCUACGGGAGGCAGCAGUGGGGAAUCUUGCACAAUGGGGGAAACCCUGAUGCAGCGACGCCGCGUGAGCGAUGAAGCCCUUCGGGGUGUAAAGCUCUUUCGGCAGGGAAGAUUAUGACGGUACCUGCAGAAGCAGCUGCGGCUAACUACGUGCCAGCAGCCGCGGUAAUACGUAGGCAGCAAGCGUUGUUCGGAGUUACUGGGCGUAAAGGGUGUGUAGGCGGUUGUUUAAGUUUGGUGUGAAAUCUCCCGGCUCAACUGGGAGGGUGCGCCGAAUACUGAAUGACUAGAGUGCGGGAGAGGAAAGUGGAAUUCCUGGUGUAGCGGUGAAAUGCGUAGAUAUCAGGAGGAACACCGGUGGUGUAAACGGCUUUCUGGACCGUAACUGACGCUGAAACACGAAAGCGUGGGGAGCAAACA